RNAcentral lists this small RNA (1391 nucleotides) under Oryza sativa Japonica Group (Japanese rice). Its description in RNAcentral is "sRNA Os01g0554400". Lineage: Eukaryota; Viridiplantae; Streptophyta; Magnoliopsida; Poales; Poaceae. The record is from RNAcentral.
GUUUCUUUCAGUUGGGCGUUUAUAUCGGAUUUCUUGGAAUUCUUCAUUGAUUUAUUCAUGAGAGAAUCUAUUCUAUACAACUAAGUUUGUUAUAGUUCAACAAUUUUGGGUAUCGCAAGCAAGUCCAACACCUUUGACCAACUCUUGUUAUAUUUUCGUAAUUGCAAUCUAUAUGUAUCACCUAGCAUUAAAUUAUACUUUCUAUAAUUAAAAUAAAUAUGCUGAUGGAUUGGAUUGGCUGGUGGAGCAGUCGGUCAUAUAUAGGUGUAUUCUGAACUUGCCAUGGUUGUCGGGGUUCAGCUGUAUAUAUUUAUCAUCGUAAGGUUAAAUAACAAUUGUUAUAUGGCAUUCAAGUGCUGUAGCGAUCGUAUCAACCACAUGACCUGGAAUGGGAUAGGCUAGCUUAGUAGUUCUUUCUUAAUGGCUUUAUCCUGCGGGCUUAAGGACUUCCGCGAAUCCUGUGAGCGUGGCCUAGUGAUGAGGGUUGUUGUUGUUGUGGAAUCCGAUUAGAUGAUGUGGAUCACCAUUGUUGCGGGAUCCAAUGAUUCGCCGUUGUUGCGGGAAUCACCCGCAGAGAUAAUUGAUAGAUGGGAUUGAUGAAAAGCUUAUGACCUUAGCCUUGCCGGCAUACACCAUAAAGUGUGCUUCAAGCACCAACGGGCGUGGGCAUUAAAAGGUUUAAGGCGUCUGUGGGUACAGAGACACACCUCUGCAGAGUGUAUGAAGUGUGAUAUGUCACUCCCUGUUUUGGGUAGAAACCGCGAAUGCGGUAGGAAAGGAACCUAUCGGAGGUUCUAAUACCUUUGGUGCCUUAUAUGCAGUAGAUUUUAUAAUUACUUAAUAUGAGUUUUUACAACACUGUUUUAUGAACAUGCAUAAAAUUCCUUGUUGGAUUAUGGUGGCUUUGGACAUAUAUGUAUUAUGCAGGUGGAUUAUGGGCAUAUAUUUGUUGGAUUGCUAUAGUUGGACUUGUUGAGUACCAUUCGUACUCAUCCCCUAUAUAUUAUUCCUUGUAGUGUUGAGCUAACAAUUAGGUGACGAGAAGAUUCUGCAAAAAUUGAUCAAGUGUUGCAUAUCUCUACAUCAACUAAAUGAUGAAGGUGAUGAUGAUAUAGAAGAGCAAGGUCUUGGUAAGUUGAUUCUUACUAAGGAAUGAGCCGUAGACCGGUAUUCUACCUCGGAAGUGGAAUACGAGGGUCGCUACAGGCUGGCGGUGGCGGAGUCGGAGACGGCACGAGGACGGUGGAUCAAGUGCGCACUGCGGCGGCCACAGGCGACGCGCUGGUCGCGACACGGUCCUCGCUUUGAGCUGAGGACGCUGGGGAGGCCCUGUCAAUAAAAACACAAAGGGGUGCUGAUUGAACACAGAAUAAAAUCAGAAGUUAUAACUC